Molecule: ribosomal RNA, 1437 nt
Filed under: uncultured bacterium
Lineage: Bacteria
Description: bacterial SSU rRNA
Rfam family: Bacterial small subunit ribosomal RNA
Source: RNAcentral
GAGUUUGAUCCUGGCUCAGAACGAACGCUGGCGGCGUGGCUGAGACAUGCAAGUCGCACGGAACUGUGAUUGGGUAACUAAGAGCAGUUUAGUGGCGAAAGGGUGAGUAAUGCAUGGGUAACGUACCCCGGGCACCGGGAUAGCAGCGUCUGCUUCGGCAGGCUACCGAAAGGGCUGGUAAUACCGGAUGUGGUCAUGAACACUGCGGUGUUUUUGAUCAAAGGUUGGGGAUCCGCUUCGGCGGACCUAAUGGCCUAGGAGCGGCCCAUGUUCCAUCAGCUUGUUGGUAAGGUAACGGCUUACCAAGGCUGCGACGGAUACCGGGGCUGAGAGGCUGGUCCGGCACAUUGGGACUGAGACACUGCCCAGACCCCCACGGGGGGCUGCAGUAACGAAUCUUCCGCAAUGGGCGCAAGCCUGACGGAGCGACGCCGCGUGUGGGAUGAAUUCCCUCGGGAUGUAAACCACUGUCAGGGCUAUGGACGCAAACCGCAGUAAUAUAGCGGUGCGCAGACCUAACCCAAAGGAAGCCACGGCUAACUUCGUGCCAGCAGCCGCGGUAAUACGAAGGUGGCAAGCGUUGUUCGGAAUAACUGGGCUUAAAGAGCACGUAGGCGGCCGGUCUAGCAUUUUGUGAAAUCCCUCGGCUUAACCGAGGAAUUGCGAGGUGAACUGGCCGGCUUGAGCUGCAGAUGGGUGACUGGAACUCUAGGUGGAGUGGUGAAAUGCGUAGAUAUCUAGAGGAACGCCGGUGGUGAAAACGGGUCACUGGCUGCAUGCUGACGCUGAGGUGCGAAAGCGUGGGUAGCGAACGGGAUUAGAUACCCCGGUAGUCCACGCCGUAAACGAUGGGUACUAGGUUCGGGGGAGUUUGACCUUUUCCGGGCCGAAGCAAAAGUACUAAGUACCCCGCCUGGGGAGUACGGUCGCAAGGCUAAAACUCAAAGGAAUUGACGGGGGCUCACACAAGCGGUGGAGCAUGUGGCUCAAUUCGAGGCAACGCGAAGAACCUUAUCCUGGGUUUGACAUGGUUGGAUGCCCUCGGUGAAAGCCGAGUAAGCUGCCUUCGGGUGAAACUUCCACAGGUGCUGCAUGGCUGUCGUCAGCUCGUGCUGUGAAGUGUCGGGUUAAGUCCCCUAACGAGCGAAACCCUUGUCUCUAGUUACCAGCGAGUAAUGUCGGGGACUCUAGAGAGACUGCCGGUGUUAAACCGGAGGAAGGUGGGGAUGACGUCAAGUCCUCAUGGCCUUUAUGCCCAGGGCUGCACACGUGCUACAAUGGUCGGUAUAAAACGAAGCAAUACCGCGAGGUGGAGCAAAUCGGAAAAAGCCGGCCCCAGUUCGGAUUGCAGGCUGCAAUUCGCCUGCAUGAAGUUGGAAUCGCUAGUAAUCGCAGAUCAGCUAUGCUGCGGUGAAUAUGUUCCUGAGCCUUGCACAC